Molecule: small RNA, 343 nt
Filed under: Pseudomonas flexibilis
Lineage: Bacteria; Pseudomonadati; Pseudomonadota; Gammaproteobacteria; Pseudomonadales; Pseudomonadaceae
Description: Serpens flexibilis Pseudomonas sRNA CrcZ
Rfam family: Pseudomonas sRNA CrcZ
Source: Rfam by way of RNAcentral
ACAACAACAAUGACAAACCCGAACUCAAUAACAACAACAGUCAACGCCUCUGACAUAACAACGACAAGACGGCAGGGACGUAGCAAACAGAUUCUUUUGACGUGGCUGUAGGUGCCCGGGAAAGAACGGACUGUCGCUUCAGGCAGCAGCCCGGUACCGGUUGAAGUAGCCGACACCCGCAGUCAAAAAAAUACGUUCGCUCUUGGCUCCAUGUGGGAGCCGUCAGCAACAGACACCAACGGCCAUAACAACAACAAGGCCGGGGGCAGGCAAAGAUACGCAGUUGAAUGUUCAAGGGGAGCCUCAGGCUCCCCUUUUUGCUGCGCGCGCAAAAUCCUCCGGU